UACGUAGGGGGCUAGCGUUGUCCGGAUUUAUUGGGCGUAAAGAGCGCGUAGGCGGCCGAGUAAGUCCGACGUGAAAUCUGGAGGCUCAACCUCCAGCGGUCGUUGGAAACUACUCGGCUAGAGUCCGGAAGAGGAGAGUGGAAUUCCUGGUGUAGCGGUGAAAUGCGCAGAUAUCAGGAAGAACACCGAUGGCGAAAGCAGCUCGCUGGGACGUGACUGACGCUGAGACGCGAAAGCGUGGGGAGCAAACAGG
Molecule: ribosomal RNA, 253 nt
Filed under: uncultured bacterium
Lineage: Bacteria
Description: partial 16S ribosomal RNA
Rfam family: Bacterial small subunit ribosomal RNA
Source: RNAcentral